AAAAAUAAAGGAAAAAAAAAAAAACUGACAAACUCUUUUUCUCUCCUUCCCUCUGGCAGGAUUUCCCGUUUGCUCCAUUAAAGGAGAUAUGACAGCGACGAGAGGCACACAAAGCCACAAGGGGGGAGAGGGUGGGCGCUCCGAAGCCAAUGGCAUUGCAAUGCUUAGAGAUCUUGCAACCUAAACUACUGGACAAAAAAAAACCUAAGGUUGGCAUUAGCAGGGAAAAAAAAAAAAAGAAAUC
RNAcentral lists this unclassified non-coding RNA (244 nucleotides) under Hevea brasiliensis (rubber tree). The record is from RNAcentral. Lineage: Eukaryota; Viridiplantae; Streptophyta; Magnoliopsida; Malpighiales; Euphorbiaceae.